GAUGAACGCUGGCGGCGUGCCUAAUACAUGCAAGUCGAACGAAACUUCUUUAUCACCGAGUGCUUGCACUCACCGAUAAAGAGUUGAGUGGCGAACGGGUGAGUAACACGUGGGCAACCUGCCCAAAAGAGGGGGAUAACACUUGGAAACAGGUGCUAAUACCGCAUAACCAUAGUUACCGCAUGGUAACUAUGUAAAAGGUGGCUAUACUACCGCUUCUGGUUGGGCCCGCGGCGCAUUAGCUAGUUGGUAGGGUAAAGGCUUACGAAGGCAAUGACGCGUAGCCGAAUUGAGAGGGUGAACGGCCACAUUGGGACUGAGACACGGCCCAAACUCCUACGGGAGGCAGCAGUAGGGAAUCUUACGCAAUGGGCGAAAGCCUGAUGGAGCAACGCCGCGUGAGUGAAGAAGGUCUUCGGAUCGUAAAACCCUGUUGUUAGAGAAGAAAGAACGUGAGAGUAACUGUUCACGUUUUGACGGUACCUAACCAGAAAGCCACGGCUAACUACGUG
RNAcentral lists this ribosomal RNA (512 nucleotides) under uncultured bacterium. RNAcentral's name for it is "partial 16S ribosomal RNA". It matches the Rfam family "Bacterial small subunit ribosomal RNA", at positions 28 to 507 of the family's 1533-position model. The record is from RNAcentral.